CAGUAGCCGCGGUAAUACGUAGGUGGCAAGCGUUGUCCGGAAUUAUUGGGCGUAAAGGGCUCGCAGGCGGUUUCUUAAGUCUGAUGUGAAAGCCCCCGGCUCAACCGGGGAGGGUCAUUGGAAACUGGGAAACUUGAGUGCAGAAGAGGAGAGUGGAAUUCCACGUGUAGCGGUGAAAUGCGUAGAGAUGUGGAGGAACGCCAGUGGCGAAGGCGACUCUCUGGUCUGUAACUGACGCUGAGGAGCGAAAGCGUGGGGAGCGAACAGGAUUAGAUACCCCUGUAGUCCCUGUCUCUUAUAA
RNAcentral lists this ribosomal RNA (301 nucleotides) under uncultured bacterium. RNAcentral describes it as "partial 16S ribosomal RNA". It matches the Rfam family "Bacterial small subunit ribosomal RNA", at positions 509 to 809 of the family's 1533-position model. The record is from RNAcentral.